RNAcentral lists this ribosomal RNA (480 nucleotides) under Porphyromonas canoris. RNAcentral describes it as "bacterial SSU rRNA". It matches the Rfam family "Bacterial small subunit ribosomal RNA", at positions 9 to 479 of the family's 1533-position model. Lineage: Bacteria; Pseudomonadati; Bacteroidota; Bacteroidia; Bacteroidales; Porphyromonadaceae. The record is from RNAcentral.
GAGUUUGAUUAUGGCUCAGGAUGAACGCUAGCGAUAGGCUUAACACAUGCAAGUCGAGGGGCAGCAUAAAGUCAGCUUGCUGAUUUAGAUGGCGACCGGCGGAUGGGUGCGUAACGCGUAUGCAACUUACCUGUCAGAGGGGGAUAACCCGGAGAAAUUCGGACUAAUACCGCAUAUNCUUGAGAUGCUGCAUGGUGUUUCAAGGAAAUAUUUAUAGCUGACAGAUAGGCAUGCGUUCCAUUAGCUAGUAGGUGAGGUAACGGCUCACCUAGGCGACGAUGGAUAGGGGAACUGAGAGGUUAAACCCCCACACUGGUACUGAGACACGGACCAGACUCCUACGGGAGGCACGCAGUGAGGAAUAUUGGUCAAUGGGCGAGAGCCUGAACCAGCCAAUUCGCGUGAAGGAUGACUGCCCUAUGGGUUGUAAACUUCUUUAGUAGGGGAUUAAAGUUUGCCNUGCGAGGCAAUUGCAANACC